This 682-nucleotide ribosomal RNA is filed under the name Lactarius badiopallescens. RNAcentral's name for it is "eukaryotic LSU rRNA". It matches the Rfam family "Eukaryotic large subunit ribosomal RNA", at positions 1 to 657 of the family's 3401-position model. The record is from RNAcentral. Lineage: Eukaryota; Fungi; Basidiomycota; Agaricomycetes; Russulales; Russulaceae.
UUGACCUCAAAUCGGGUGAGACUACCCGCUGAACUUAAGCAUAUCAAUAAGCGGAGGAAAAGAAACUAACAAGGAUUCCCCUAGUAACUGCGAGUGAAGCGGGAAAAGCUCAAAUUUAAAAUCUGGCAGCCUUUGGCCGUCCGAGUUGUAAUUUAGAGAAGCGUCUUCCGCGCUGGACCGUGCACAAGUCUCCUGGAAUGGAGCGUCAUAGAGGGUGAGAAUCCCGUCUUUGGCAUGGAUGCCUGGUGCUUCUGUGAUGCGCUCUCGAAGAGUCGAGUUGUUUGGGAAUGCAGCUCAAAAUGGGUGGUGAACUCCAUCUAAAGCUAAAUAUUGGCGAGAGACCGAUAGCGAACAAGUACCGUGAGGGAAAGAUGAAAAGCACUUUGGAAAGAGAGUGAAACAGUACGUGAAAUUGUUGAAAGGGAAACGCUUGAAGUCAGUCGCGUCGACCGAGACUCAGCCUUGCCUUGGCUUGGUGUACUUCUCGGCCCGACGGGUCAGCAUCAAUUUUGCCCUUUGGAUAAUGGCGGGGGAAAGGUGGCACCUUUACGGGUGUGUUAUAGUCUCCUGUCGCAUGCGAGGGGUGGGAUUGAGGAACUCAGCGCGCACCUCAGUGUCGGGGCUUCGGCUCACGUCACGCGCUUAGGAUGCUGGCGUAAUGGCUUUAAACGACCCGUCUUGA